AUUGAACGCUGGCGGCAUGCCUUACACAUGCAAGUCGAACGGCAGCACGGGAGCAAUCCUGGUGGCGAGUGGCGAACGGGUGAGUAAUAUAUCGGAACGUGCCCAGUCGUGGGGGAUAACGUAGCGAAAGCUACGCUAAUACCGCAUACGAUCUAUAGAUGAAAGCGGGGGAUCGCAAGACCUCGCGCGAUUGGAGCGGCCGAUAUCAGAUUAGGUAGUUGGUGAGGUAAAGGCUCACCAAGCCGACGAUCUGUAGCUGGUCUGAGAGGACGACCAGCCACACUGGGACUGAGACACGGCCCAGACUCCUACGGGAGGCAGCAGUGGGGAAUUUUGGACAAUGGGCGCAAGCCUGAUCCAGCAAUGCCGCGUGCAGGAUGAAGGCCUUCGGGUUGUAAACUGCUUUUGUACGGAACGAAACGGUGAGCUCUAAUACAGUUUGCUAAUGACGGUACCGUAAGAAUAAGCACCGGCUAACUACGUG
RNAcentral lists this ribosomal RNA (484 nucleotides) under uncultured bacterium. RNAcentral describes it as "bacterial SSU rRNA". It matches the Rfam family "Bacterial small subunit ribosomal RNA", at positions 30 to 507 of the family's 1533-position model. The record is from RNAcentral.